AGAACGGGUCAUGGAAUCACUCUUCUCUGCUAUAUUUUUCCCACCUUCUGUCUAUACAGACUCUGGACAGAAGAUGGGAAAAAUAUAGCAGAGAAUGUCUCGGAUAAGUUUGGUCUGUGUGAAGACCUCAGAGCGACUCGCAGACACAUCUAGUCUGUCUGGUAGCUUUGGAGCAACUCCCCAAUUAAUCACUGUCUUCUUAAUAACUACUUGCUUUUUCUCCCCUUUUCGUUUUCCCUCGUUACAUAUCACACUUUUCCUCUUUCCACCACCUGCAUGUCAUCUAGUUCUCUCCUGUCAAAACUGAUAGCUGUGUUUAUUUUCUUUAUUAAAUCAUCGAGGACAGAGGACUUCAGAUCUGUAGAAAUAACAUUCAAGUGGGUCGUUUGUCGUGCAAAAGUGUCACCUAUGACUAAGUACGGAGUGAUGUUUUCCAGAAGGUCCAAAUUCCAUGUCUUAACCCUCUUUGUUAUAUAAAACUUUUUUUUUCUACUAAUUUCAACAUCCAAACUACAUUUUUAUAUAUAUAUGGAAUUGAUCUGUAAUUGGAUUGGCCUGUUAAGACAAGCCAUGAUAGGUCUGAUCACCUUCCAUUUAUCUAUAUAUUUAACUAUAUAUGUUCAUAUUUAUUUUAUGAAGGUUUUCUGUGACCUCACAGUAAUAAAGAUUUUAUUUUAUUAUGAUGAAGAGAAAAUGUUUUCAAACAUAUUGGCAAAAUGUUAAAGUAUAUAGUAAUACAGAGAGUAAUGUAGUUUAAUUAAAACUGAAGUAAACUAUUUAUCUAUAAUGUAAAAC
RNAcentral lists this long non-coding RNA (795 nucleotides) under Androctonus crassicauda. The record is from RNAcentral. Lineage: Eukaryota; Metazoa; Arthropoda; Arachnida; Scorpiones; Buthidae.